RNAcentral lists this ribosomal RNA (443 nucleotides) under uncultured bacterium. RNAcentral describes it as "partial 16S ribosomal RNA". It matches the Rfam family "Bacterial small subunit ribosomal RNA", at positions 338 to 795 of the family's 1533-position model. The record is from RNAcentral.
CCUACGGGAGGCUGCAGUGGGGAAUAUUGCACAAUGGGGGAAACCCUGAUGCAGCAACGCCGCGUGAAGGAAGACGGUUUUCGGAUUGUAAACUUCUAUCAAUAGGGAAGAAAGAAAUGACGGUACCUAAAUAAGAAGCCCCGGCUAACUACGUGCCAGCAGCCGCGGUAAUACGUAGGGGGCAAGCGUUAUCCGGAUUUACUGGGUGUAAAGGGAGCGUAGACGGUGCAGCAAGUCUGAUGUGAAAGGUCGGGGCCCAACCCCGGGACUGCAUUGGAAACUGUUGAACUGGAGUACAGGAGAGGUAAGCAGAAUUCCUAGUGUAGCGGUGAAAUGCGUAGAUAUUAGGAGGAACACCAGUGGCGAAGGCGGCUUACUGGACUGUAACUGACGUUGAGGCUCGAAAGCGUGGGGAGCAAACAGGAUUAGAUACCCGAGUAGUC